AACCAUUCUCACCUGCGGCUAGACCUGCGGAAGGAUCAUUACAGAGUGUUUAACCCCCUAUAAAAUGGUGGGUCUAACCUCCCGUCCUUUGCUGGGUCCCCCUUCUGGAGGACUUUCAAAACUUUCUGCUUCGGCGGGGUAUACCCGCCGGAACACCCUCAAAAAAUUCUUGAUCAAAAUGGUUCGGUCCGAGAAACUUUUUGUGAAAAUUAGCGAAAAACUUUCAACAAUGGAUCUCAG
RNAcentral lists this unclassified non-coding RNA (240 nucleotides) under soil metagenome. RNAcentral's name for it is "partial contains 5.8S ribosomal RNA, internal transcribed spacer 2, and large subunit ribosomal RNA". The record is from RNAcentral.